AUGGCCAAGAGAAAGGCUGAAGGAGAUGCUAAAGGAGAUAAAACCAAGGUGAGGACGAACCCCAGAGAAGAUCUGGAAGGUUGUCUGCUAAACCUGCUCCUCCAAAGCCAGAGCCCAAGCCUAAGAAGGCCCCAGCUAAUAAGGGAGUGAAGGUACCCAAAGGGAAAAAGGGAAAAGCCAAUGCUGGCAAGGAGGGGAAUAACCCUGCAGAAAAUGGAGAUGCCAAAACAGACCAGGUACAUAAAGCUGAAGGUACUGGAGAUGCCAAGUGAAGUGUGUGCAUUUUUGAUAACUGUUUACUUCUGGUGACUGUACAGUUUGAAAUACUAUUUUUUAUCAAGUUUUAUAAAAAUGCAGAAUUUUGUUUUUGUUUUUUUUUUAAGCUAUGUUGUUAGUACACAGAACACUUCAUUGUUGUUUUUUGGGAAAGGGGCAUAUGUCACUAAUAGAAUGUCUCCAAAGCUGAAUUGAUGUGGGGAAAACACCUUUCCCUUCUAGUUUUAAGAGACUUCCUCUUGGCUUCCAGGAGGAGGGAUUCCCCGACGUUGACACACAUAGCCACCUUGGUACAAUCAC
Carlito syrichta (Philippine tarsier) is the source of this 576-nucleotide RNA transcript. It is a transcript of the gene named non-histone chromosomal protein HMG-17 pseudogene, with no coding region annotated. NCBI's taxonomy places the organism in Eukaryota, Metazoa, Chordata, Mammalia, Primates, Tarsiidae. The transcript has a single exon. The record is from RefSeq and is a predicted model, not a curated record.